UACGUAGGGGCCUAGCGUUGUCCGGAUUUACUGGGCGUAAAGCGCGCGCAGGCGGCCCUGUGCGCUGCCGGUGAAAGCUCCCGGCUUACCUGGGAGAGGUUCGGCAGGACGGCAGGGCUGGAGGGUGGGAGAGGUCGGUGGAAUUCCCGGUGUAGUGGUGAAAUGCGUAGAGAUCGGGAGGAACACCCGUAGCGAAGGCGGCCGACUGGACCACACCUGACGCUGAGGCGCGAAGGCCAGGGGAGCGAACGGG
RNAcentral lists this ribosomal RNA (253 nucleotides) under uncultured bacterium. RNAcentral describes it as "partial 16S ribosomal RNA". It matches the Rfam family "Bacterial small subunit ribosomal RNA", at positions 524 to 776 of the family's 1533-position model. The record is from RNAcentral.